GUUGAACGCUGGCGGCGUGCCUAAUACAUGCAAGUCGAACGAACAGACGAGGACCUUGCCCCUCUGACGUUAGCGGCGGACGGGUGAGUUACACGUGGAUAACUUACCUAUAAGACUGGGGUAACUUCGGGAAACCGGAACUACUACCUGCUAACAUAUUAAAACGCAUGGUUCAAUUGUGAAAGACGGCUUUGCUGUCUCUUAUAGAUGGAUCCGCGCCGUAUUAGCUAGUUGGUAAGGUAACGGCCUACCAAGGCAACGAUCCGUAGCCGGCCUGAGAGGGUGACCAGCCACACUGGAACUGAGACACGGACCAGACUCCUACGGGAGGCAGCAGUAGGGAAUCUUCCACAAUGGGCGAAAGCCUGAUGGAGCAACGCCGCGUGAGUGAAGAAGGCCUUCGGGUCGUAAAACUCUGUUGUUAGGGAAGAACAACUGGGUAAGUAACUGUGCGGGGGAUGACGGUACCUGAACAGAAAGCCCCGGCUAACUACGUG
Molecule: ribosomal RNA, 497 nt
Filed under: uncultured bacterium
Lineage: Bacteria
Description: partial 16S ribosomal RNA
Rfam family: Bacterial small subunit ribosomal RNA
Source: RNAcentral